This 463-nucleotide ribosomal RNA is filed under the name uncultured bacterium. RNAcentral's name for it is "bacterial SSU rRNA". It matches the Rfam family "Bacterial small subunit ribosomal RNA", at positions 33 to 507 of the family's 1533-position model. The record is from RNAcentral.
GACGACGCUGGCGGCGUGCCUAACACAUGCAAGUCGAGCGAAUGAAGUUCCUUCGGGAACGGAUUUAGCGGCGGACGGGUGAGUAACACGUGGGCAACCUGCCUCAUAGAGGGGAAUAGCCUUCCGAAAGGGAGAUUAAUACCGCAUAAGAUUGUAGUACCGCAUGGUACAGCAAUUAAAGGAGUAAUCCGCUAUGAGAUGGGCCCGCGGCGCAUUAGCUAGUUGGUGAGGUAACGGCUCACCAAGGCGACGAUGCGUAGCCGACCUGAGAGGGUGAUCGGCCACAUUGGGACUGAGACACGGCCCAGACUCCUACGGGAGGCAGCAGUGGGGAAUAUUGCACAAUGGGGGAAACCCUGAUGCAGCAACGCCGCGUGAGUGAUGACGGCCUUCGGGUUGUAAAGCUCUGUCUUCAGGGACGAUAAUGACGGUACCUGAGGAGGAAGCCACGGCUAACUACGUG